RNAcentral lists this ribosomal RNA (393 nucleotides) under uncultured bacterium. RNAcentral describes it as "bacterial SSU rRNA". It matches the Rfam family "Bacterial small subunit ribosomal RNA", at positions 505 to 896 of the family's 1533-position model. The record is from RNAcentral.
GUGCCAGCAGCCGCGGUAAUACGGAGGAUGCAAGCGUUAUCCGGAAUUAUUGGGCGUAAAGCGUCCGCAGGCGGCUUAUUAAGUCUGUUGUCAAAGCCCACAGCUCAACUGUGGAUCGGCAAUGGAAACUGGUGAGCUAGAGUGUGGUAGGGGUAGAGGGAAUUCCCGGUGUAGCGGUGAAAUGCGUAGAUAUCGGGAAGAACACCGGUGGCGAAAGCGCUCUGCUAGGCCGCAACUGACACUGAGGGACGAAAGCUAGGGGAGCGAAUGGGAUUAGAUACCCCAGUAGUCCUAGCCGUAAACGAUGGAUACUAGGCGUGGCUUGUAUCGACCCGAGCCGUGCCGUAGCUAACGCGUUAAGUAUCCCGCCUGGGGAGUACGCACGCAAGUGUG